UUUUGUUAAUAUUGUGUCACAUCGGCACGGAUCGAUGACAACUGGUUCUCACCAGGCACCCAACACAUGCCGACACCACCUCUAUUACCAUCAUGAUAUAUUUCAAACUGGCAUCAAAGAUAAGAAGUUCUAUUUUAAAUUCGAAUAUGGUGAUGAAUUAUAGCUCUAUAUAAACAAAUUUUAAGUCCACUUGGAUCACCAUAUAAAUUGUUAUUGUGUUCAUCUACGGAUUUUUGUGAGCAUUAAAUUUCGCAUGAACUAUCAUUGUGUUUUCCCAUAUAAUUCUAACUAAAUUUAAGUACACUUCAAUUAUGUCUCCCGUUGCAACGCAUGGGCAUUUGUGCUAGUAAUAAUAAAGCACGGAUUGACUUUGUCGGGUUCACCGUCACAAUACGCUUUCUUCUUACGUCAUAAUACGCUUUUACGAUUGUAUAGAUAAAAUCGUAAUAUAAACGAGGUGGUACUAUUAUUGUAUACGUUUCGACGUUUUGUUUUCUGCCUGUACGUCAAAUUCGCACGUAAAUCCAAUUUGGCCCAACAACGAAUCAUCCAUGAGUUUCUUUCACGGCACGGGCUAUCCCGAUCCCAGCCUCCAGGAGGCGACCGACCCCGGCGAGGCGGCGACGCUCAAUCCGGUGAUGCGCCGGGCGCCGGCCGAUGCCGGCAAGGAUUUGCCCCCUUCUCCCGGCCCACGUAUCUCUCUUGCGCCAAAUAGGGUUGGGCGCCGCCGCCGUUUUCCUGGUUGACGAUCAACCAUGGCUAGGGUUUUGGGCACCUCCACUCUGGCGUGGUUCCGGCACCUCCGGCGACUCCUCUCUGACGCCCACCGCGCCCCCACACGCAGCUCCGUCUCCGGGAUGCUGCUCCUCCGCUUGGUGGCCAUGGGAUGUGCAGGCAAGGAUUGGAUACUUGAGGAAGGAGGGGUCGACCUUGCCUUGCUGCAGCUCGGGACGCACCACCCAUGGAGAGCUUCCUCCUUUCUGUCUUCAGGUGAGUUCGCCCCCUCCUCUCUCUGCUCUUGUUCGUGGCCAUUGAGGCAUUGUUCUUGGUUAGGAUUUACCACCGUUUGGGCUCAAUUGGCUACUGUUUGAGGUCAAUUUUGUUUAUACUGUUAAGUGUUGAUUGUUUCUUGCAUUGAACAGCAAGGUUAGACAUGAAUUUGUUAGUAGAAUAGAUCCCUGUCUGAACUGAGUUGUUAGUUCAAUUGUCCAAUCUUGAAUUUAGGGAGCUGCUACUGAAAGAUUUUUUUUCAUUUUGUAUGUCAUGGGUUGGCCAUCAAUUUUAUUAAACAUCAAGGUUAACCACGAUCACACGAAGCCGAAGGUGCAUGAUGAAAAAUCCGUACGUGCAUGCUCUAUCCAUCCAGAAUUGAUCCAUCAGGCUGCUUCCAAAGCUAGCUUGAUCAUGCACUUGUGCCUCUCGGCAGACUUCUACUAACGUAUGUGAUACACAGUCCAGGCAAAAUCACAUCAUACACCAUGGAAGAAGUACUCGCGCACGUAUUCCAGAUCUACGACAAGAAUGGGGAGAUGGCCGGAAGUACACUUGGGCUCAAUCGUUGACAUGUGCAGGAGGGCAGCGGCCUUGUGAACCAAACCAAAUCGAGGAGGUCAGGGACCGGCUAGAGACCUCAUCGAGCACCGCCGUCACCGGUAGUGACAACACAGUCGCUGUGUUUGGUCUAUCCCGAGCCUCUUUUUUGUGGUUCGUGUUCUUUUGAUAUCCUCUUGCCAUGAUAUUCUAGCUGGACUUCUGCAGCUAGGCCAACAACAGAGCGAGGCUUAGCCCUGAUGAUGACUUGACAAAUAUGGUUAAAAUGCUGGAGAUGAGGAAUGUAACGAAACUGAAGAAACAGGGGGUACUCUUAGCUUUAGUUCCUUAUCAUUUUUUAUGUGCAUUGCUAUGUAUCUGUAUAAACUUGCUUCGGCCAUUGUUGUCAAUUGGCCGGCACAAGUAUUGCAUAUUUCUAGCCAUCUAGAAUAAGCGGACGAGAUGAUGUGCAUUCAUUUGGUGGCACAAAAUCAAUUUCCUUUUCCAACUAAUAGUACAUACAUUAAUAAAAUUACUGUGGUUGGCAGCUCUUCACUGCAUGUUUUGAAAUGUUUCGUGCGCUUGUCCCAUUUAAUCACUCACAAGGUUGCAACAGCAUGCUAAGUAAGCAUCCAAUUAUUCUAUUUUUUGUAACAAAAUUUUCUCUUGAUCAUCUCAUGGAAAAUGAAUCUUCUUCAAACAAGACGUGUUCUUAAUGGCAGUGCCCAAAUAUUACUUUAUAGAUACUAUUCUGAGUUCCGUUAUGUGCAGGCUUAUGCCAGUGUCUAGCUCUUACAGCACCAAAGAUAAAUAAACUCACCAGAGCGAAGUGUUUUGAAAGUGGAAGGUAUAUAAAGGUAGUUCAUCUACAUAAGUUGUUUUUCACUUGGUUCCAUGCAGCAUAAUUGAGGAUAUGCCUAACUACUGCUACCCUGAUUCUAUUUUUGUAUUUAUCUGAUGUUCUUUGUAUAGAUAUGUAUGUACUACCUCCGUCUGGAAUUAGUUGUUGCUGAAGUAGAUGGAUAUAGACGUAUUUCGGUGCUAGAUACAUCCGUUUGAGCGACAAGUAAUUCCGGACGGAGAGAGUAUCUUUUAACAUAAUCUGCUCCAAAACUCAGAAGAAGUUAUCCCAGCUUUCCAUCACACCGAAUUACUGCAUCAAGGGGUCUGAUAGUAUGAUAAUAUCCUAUGUUUGAACAAAGUUUAUAUUCUCACGCUCUCAUUUUGUCAUAAGAUGUGAAUUUUUCUCUCCUGUUGCAACACUAGGUCAUUUGCUCCAUGUGAUAUUGAGGUCUAUGGUACAAGGCUCAUAGCUUGUGAAUGUUGUUGAAAGAUAUAAUUUAGUUUUUUUAUUGGUUUAUGCAAAUUCAUGUCAAACCUUAUGCCAAUAGUUGAUGCUUCCUGACUAUUUGCACCAAUGCCCUUCUAUCCAUAGCUGAAUCUGGAGGAUACAUGAAGCGAGAGUAAUGUUAACCGACAUUGAUGCAUAAAGUUACUUGAUCAAAACAUAGAGAGUUGUGUAAGCCUUUACCGCAUUCAUGCAUUUCCAUGCUGAAUCCAGCCUCUUCAAUUGGUUUCCGCACGUGUACAUAGAACUAGCGAGUAUCCACACAUGCAUGUCUCAUCUGAAUCCGGCGUCAUUAAUUGGUCUUCUAGCCAAAUUUAGAUUUGUUCUAAGACAUAGGUUGCUAAGUUGUUGGUGAGAGAUAUAGUACUUUUCAUUUUUAAAUUAGAUGCAUUUUCUAGAGACGUAGAACUGUUGAAAUUUUAAUUACAUGCAUUUUUUCUGUUGUAAUUUCCAAUUUAGUUUAUCCAGUAUUUUAACUUUGUGUCAGAUAACCUUUUAUUCCUUUUAGGUAGUUAGAAGUUGGUCACAUACAUUGUAAUUCUUUUCCUUUCAGAAACCACCGCAAGGAUGAUGUUAUUUUACAUGUUGAAUAUGAACUAUGCAUUAGAAAUUGACA
This is a non-coding RNA of Aegilops tauschii subsp. strangulata, 3494 nucleotides long. Lineage: Eukaryota; Viridiplantae; Streptophyta; Magnoliopsida; Poales; Poaceae. The record is from RefSeq and is a predicted model, not a curated record.